CUUUAGAACCUAGGAAGAGACCCUCCCUGGAGAAGGGGACUAAGAGUUCAGAUAGAUGGAGCCUCAGCCUAUCAGAGGACAGCCUCCCACAGGAUGAACCCAUAGAUGGAGCCUCAGCCUAUCAGAGGACAGCCUCCCAUGGGAUGAACCCUGUUAGACAUCUUCCCCCAAUACAGCUCACCUAUGCAGCAGCAAAGCCUCGUUCUACCCCCCUGUAUGAGUUAAUGACCUCACAAUGUCAGAUUCCACAGGUCAGAGGCUUGGGCACAGCAUGUAAACACCAAGGGCUUCAUGGGAAGGGAUUGGGCUGCCUAGCCCUUGUCUAGUGUGGAUAGCAUCUGUCACUGUGGCACAAGAAAACCAGAACCAAGUGGAAUCCCCAGAAGAAAGCUUUCCAUUCUUCAAGGGAAAUGCACAGCUAAGAACUGCUCCUGUCAUCCCUGCUGGUCCAAAUCCCUCCCGCCUGGCUGUGUCUGCUAGGUCAUGUCACCUGCUGCUAUUCCAACACUACUGAAUUGGACUGCUGAUAUAUCCGUGAAGUGUUCGAGAGUGGAUCGAGCUGCCACUGCUGACUGCUGAACUGCUGACUUCCUGACAACACAAAUGGAUUUCCAGGAUGAGAUUCCUCAAUCACAUCGCUUUCCACAGCGUCCAGUCUGUCACAGACUUGUGCCUGCCGGGCAUCCUGGACACAAGGACAUCGUAUUAGCUACAAGCAUCCUCCACCCUGGAUGGGCUGUGAGGGUGGCCCAUAAGACAUGUCCAUACAAAAGCCUUCAUCCAGAAAUUACGAAUUUUCUGGGAUAUUGGCAAGAGGAUAAGAUGAGAUCGCACGCAUGCAGGAAAGAGACGAGCUCUGGGAGCAUCUCAUAACUGCUAGCCUCGGUCCCUAUCACUGUCAGGGACAGUGCACAGAAUGUGACCAGUUCCUCCAACUCAACUGGCUGUCUGCUUCCCCACUGCCCUACACGAUUCAAUAUAUGUUUUCCUCGGGCGUUUUUACUGUUCUAUUUCCCUUUAUAAUGUGUGUAGAUCUCUUAUGCAUCACUAAUUAAGUUUAUGUAUGUUCCCUGUGGGCCACCUAGAGUAUUUUUAGUAAUAAGGCAGAGAGAGCAGGUACCCAGAGAGCACAAUAGAGAAUGAAGGCAGAGAAGAGCCUCAGAAAAAAAGACAGGACUGAGGUGCUAGGAGGAGCAGGAGGGAGGACUUGAUUGUCUGAGAGCAGAAAGCCAGUGAAAUACAUUGUAGUCUGUGUGGAAGACACUUCCUGCAUUCCCCAAGAAAGAGAGCCCCAGCAUAAGGAGAUGGAAUGUGGCACUUCUGACCCCUGUAAGUAACAGCUGAGACCUUGAAACAUGACUGGAAAAUCCCCCAUCAUUGGAUCAUGUUAGUACACACCUUGUACACACACACACACACAUACACACGCACAGACGCAUGUACAUGUACCCACCCAUAUACACACUCUUAUUCACACCCAACCUAGCACAUACCCAUUACACACCAUGUACAUACACACCCAUAUACACAUUCCUGUACACACUCAUAUUCAUAUCCAUCUACACUCACAUGACACACAGAAACACAUCCACA
Molecule: small RNA, 1593 nt
Filed under: Rattus norvegicus (Norway rat)
Lineage: Eukaryota; Metazoa; Chordata; Mammalia; Rodentia; Muridae
Description: uncharacterized LOC108349711
Source: RNAcentral